Molecule: ribosomal RNA, 389 nt
Filed under: gamma proteobacterium VA3S1
Lineage: Bacteria; Pseudomonadati; Pseudomonadota; Gammaproteobacteria
Description: bacterial SSU rRNA
Rfam family: Bacterial small subunit ribosomal RNA
Source: RNAcentral
CAUUUCGAAAGGAAUGCUAAUACCGCAUACGUCCUACGGGAGAAAGCAGGGGAUCUUCGGACCUUGCGCUAAUAGAUGAGCCUAAGUCGGAUUAGCUAGUUGGUGGGGUAAAGGCCUACCAAGGCGACGAUCUGUAGCGGGUCUGAGAGGAUGAUCCGCCACACUGGGACUGAGACACGGCCCAGACUCCUACGGGAGGCAGCAGUGGGGAAUAUUGGACAAUGGGCGCAAGCCUGAUCCAGCCAUGCCGCGUGUGUGAAGAAGGCCUUAUGGUUGUAAAGCACUUUAAGCGAGGAGGAGGCUACUUUAGUUAAUACCUAGAGAUAGUGGACGUUACUCGCAGAAUAAGCACCGGCUAACUCUGUGCCAGCAGCCGCGGGAAAUACGAA